AAGUCGUAACAAGGUUUCCGUAGGUGAACCUGCGGAAGGAUCAUUAAAGAAUUCGGCUUCGCGGCCAAGUUCUCACCCUUUGUAUACCAGAAAUCUAUUGGUUUGGCUUUUGGGCCCAUGGGCCCCCGUUGCCAUUUCUGCGGGCCUGCCAGAGGUUAUAAACCCCUAGAAUCUCUGCUGUCUGAGUCACUAUGCAAUAGUUAAAA
Molecule: unclassified non-coding RNA, 206 nt
Filed under: plant metagenome
Description: partial contains small subunit ribosomal RNA and internal transcribed spacer 1
Rfam family: Eukaryotic small subunit ribosomal RNA (bases 1-46)
Source: RNAcentral